GUCGUGGUGUCUUGUUGAUGAUGGCGCCUCUAUAACAGCAUCCAACAUCCUUCUUUUCAAGAGAAGUAGCCCUUCGUAGAAGUAAUGUAUCAAAGACUGAUAUGAUAUAUCAUGUUGUGGACAGCUUGCGCAUAACUGUUUGAACCUUUCCCAAUAAUCCUGCAAGCUCUUGGAAUCUCUUUGACGGAUCCCACAUAUUUCUCUCCUAAUGCCUAUUACCUUAUAUGCUAGGAAGAAAC
RNAcentral lists this long non-coding RNA (239 nucleotides) under Carica papaya (papaya). RNAcentral describes it as "long non-coding RNA (CPAP_LNC014600)". Lineage: Eukaryota; Viridiplantae; Streptophyta; Magnoliopsida; Brassicales; Caricaceae. The record is from RNAcentral.